GAUGAACGCUGGCGGCGUGCCUAACACAUGCAAGUCGAGCGAGAAGCUCAUGACGGAAUCUUCGGAGGACGGAUUGAGUGGAAAGCGGCGGACGGGUGAGUAACGCGUGGGUAACCUGCCCUGUACAGAGGAAUAGCCAUUGGAAACGAUGAUUAAUGCCUCAUAAGACUACAGUAUCGCAUGAUACAGUAGCCAAAACUCCGGUGGUACAGGAUGGACCCGCGUUAGAUUAGCUAGUUGGUAAGGUAACGGCUUACCAAGGCGACGAUCUAUAGCCGACCUGAGAGGGUGAUCGGCCACACUGGAACUGAGACACGGUCCAGACUCCUACGGGAGGCAGCAGUGGGGAAUAUUGCACAAUGGGCGAAAGCCUGAUGCAGCAACGCCGCGUGAGCGAAGAAGGUCUUCGGAUCGUAAGGCUCUGUCCUAUGGGAAGAACACAAUGACGGUACCAUAGGAGGAAGCCCCGGCUAACUACGUGCCAGCAGCCGCGGUAAUACGUAGGGGGCAAGCGUUAUCCGGAAUCACUGGGCGUAAAGGGUGCGUAGGCGGUUUCUCAAGCCAGAAGUGAAAGGCAAUGGCUCA
RNAcentral lists this ribosomal RNA (585 nucleotides) under uncultured bacterium. RNAcentral's name for it is "bacterial SSU rRNA". It matches the Rfam family "Bacterial small subunit ribosomal RNA", at positions 28 to 611 of the family's 1533-position model. The record is from RNAcentral.